Long non-coding RNA from Oncorhynchus keta (chum salmon), 1226 nucleotides. RefSeq lists it as uncharacterized. Lineage: Eukaryota; Metazoa; Chordata; Actinopteri; Salmoniformes; Salmonidae. The transcript has 4 exons. The record is from RefSeq and is a predicted model, not a curated record.
GAGGAGAACAGAGACAGAGGAGAACAGUGGAGAAAGGAGAAAGAGGAGAAUGGAGAAAGAGGAGAACAGAGAAAGAGGAGAACAGAACAGAAAAGACGAGAGUCAAGGAGAGAGGAGUAAAGGAGAGGAGAACGAGUGUUUCUGAAGGAGGGAGGAAAGAAAGUGGGGGUCAGAUUUCCACAGACCACUUCUGUAAAGAGUCCUGUCAGCCUGACCAAGGCCCAAGAGGUGGUUGUCAAGGGCUUAGCAGGGCUUCAGCUCUCACAGACACAGAGAUAUACUGCUCUGUAGGAGUCAUAGAGGUUACACAGACACAGAGAUAUACUGCUCUGUAGGAGUCAUAGAGGUUACACAGACACAGAGAUAUACUGCUCUGUAGGAGUCAUAGAGGUUACACAGACACAGAGAUAUACUGCUCUGUAGGAGUCAUAGAGGUUACACAGACACAGAGAUAUACUGCUCUGUAGGAGUCAUAGAGGUUACACAGACACAGAGAUAUACUGCUCUGUAGGAGUCAUAGAGGUUACACAGACACAGAGAUAUACUGCUCUGUAGGAGUCAUAGAGGUUACACAGACACAGAGAUAUACUGCUCUGCAGGAGUCAUAGAGGUUACACAGACACAGAGAUAUACUGCUCUGCAGGAGUCAUAGAGGUUACACAGACACAGAGAUAUACUGCUCUGUAGGAGUCAUAGAGGUUACACAGACACAGAGAUAUACUGCUCUGCAGGAGUCAUAGAGGUUACACAGACACAGAGAUAUACUGCUCUGCAGGAGUCAUAGAGGUUACACAGAAACAGAGAUAUACUGCUCUGCAGGAGUCAUAGAGGUUACACAGACACAGAGAUAUACUGCUCUGCAGGAGUCAUAGAGGUUACACAGACACAGAGAUAUACUGCUCUGCAGGAGUCAUAGAGGUUACACAGACACAGAGAUAUACUGCUCUGCAGGAGUCAUAGAGGUUACACAGACACAGAGAUAUACUGCUCUGCAGGAGUCAUAGAGGUUACACAGACACAGAGAUAUACUGCUCUGCAGGAGUCAUAGAGGUUACACAGACACAGAGAUAUACUGCUCUGCAGGAGUCAUAGAGGUUACACAGACACAGAGAUAUACUGCUCUGUAGGAGUCAUAGAGGUUACACAGACACAGAGAUAUACUGCUCUGCAGGAGUCAUAGAGGUUACACAGACACAGAGAUAUACUGCUCUGCAGGAAUCAUAGAG